UACGUAGGGCGCAAGCGUUGUCCGGAAUUAUUGGGCGUAAAGAGCUCGUAGGCGGUUUGUCGCGUCUGCUGUGAAAACCUAAGGCUCAACCUUGGGCUUGCAGUGGGUACGGGCAGACUAGAGUGAUGUAGGGGAGACUGGAAUUCCUGGUGUAGCGGUGAAAUGCGCAGAUAUCAGGAGGAACACCAAUGGCGAAGGCAGAUCUCUGGGCCGUAACUGACGCUGAGGAGCGAAAGCAUGGGGAGCGAACAGG
RNAcentral lists this ribosomal RNA (253 nucleotides) under uncultured bacterium. RNAcentral's name for it is "partial 16S ribosomal RNA". It matches the Rfam family "Bacterial small subunit ribosomal RNA", at positions 524 to 776 of the family's 1533-position model. The record is from RNAcentral.